GAUGAACGCUGGCGGCGUGCCUAAUACAUGCAAGUCGAGCGAACGGACGAGAAGCUUGUUCCUCUGAUGUUAGCGGCGGACGGGUGAGUAACACGUGGAUAACCUACCUAUAAGACUGGGAUAACUUCGGGAAACCGGUGCUAAUACCGCAUAAUAUUUUGAACCGCAUGGUUCAAAAGUGAAAGACGCUAUUGCUGUCACUAAUAGAUGGAUCCGCGCUGCAUUAGUUAGUUGGGAAGGUAACGGCUUACCAAGGCAACGAUGCAUAGCCGACCUGAGAGGGUGAUCGGCCACACUGGAACUGAGACACGGUCCAGACUCCUACGGGAGGCAGCAGUAGGGAAUCUUCGGCAAUGGGCGAAAGCCUGACGGAGCAACGCCGCGUGGGUGAUGAAGGUCUUCGGAUCGUAAAACUCUGUUAUUGGGGAAGAACAUAUGUGUAAGUAACUGUGCACAUCUUGACGGUACCUAAUCAGAAAGCCACGGCUAACUACGUG
Molecule: ribosomal RNA, 497 nt
Filed under: uncultured bacterium
Lineage: Bacteria
Description: partial 16S ribosomal RNA
Rfam family: Bacterial small subunit ribosomal RNA
Source: RNAcentral